RNAcentral lists this ribosomal RNA (253 nucleotides) under uncultured bacterium. RNAcentral describes it as "partial 16S ribosomal RNA". It matches the Rfam family "Bacterial small subunit ribosomal RNA", at positions 524 to 776 of the family's 1533-position model. The record is from RNAcentral.
UACGUAGGUGACAAGCGUUGUCCGGAUUUACUGGGCGUAAAGAGCGCGCAGGCGGUCGUUCAAGUCGAGUGUGAAGGCCCCCGGCUCAACUGGGGAGGGUCACUCGAUACUGAUCGACUCGAAGGCAGGAGAGGGAAGUGGAAUUCCCGGUGUAGUGGUGAAAUGCGUAGAUAUCGGGAGGAACACCAGUGGCGAAGGCGACUUCCUGGCCUGUUCUUGACGCUGAGGCGCGAAAGCUAGGGGAGCAAACGGG